This 1053-nucleotide ribosomal RNA is filed under the name Triticum aestivum (bread wheat). Its description in RNAcentral is "partial small subunit ribosomal RNA". The record is from RNAcentral. Lineage: Eukaryota; Viridiplantae; Streptophyta; Magnoliopsida; Poales; Poaceae.
AUGAAUAUCGCCCUCCUAUCCCGUUGGCUUUGGCACAUUUCGCAAGGUCACGGUGGCCUCUGGCUCGACAUCAUCCGGAACAAAUACCUGCGCGAACAGCCCCUCGCCUUCUGUCAGAGAUCUGGCGGGUCCCGGUUCUGGCAGUCGGUCGUCCAGCUUCUUCCGGUUCUUCGCAUCGGGACUUCCAUCUCGGUGGGCUCCGGGGCGCCGACUUUGUUCUGGUUUGAUCGGUGGGCCGGAGACGCUCCCUUCGCGGCGCGUUUUCCCGGCCUCUUCUCCAUCUCCGUCGAUCCUGUGAUCUCUGUCGACAGGGCCCUUAUUGACUUAGGGCGCCUCGCCUUCCGGCGGCCAUUUGGGCCCCCGGAGUCCGCCGCUUGGCGUGAGUUACUGGACUGUGUGGCUCUCCACGAGCCGUUGGUGGACGGUGGGCCUGACCAGGUGCGUUGGCGCCUGGAGCCCUCUGGCCAAUUCUCCACCAAGUCUCUCUACCAGGCCAUCGCCCCCUCCUCCGCCCCUCCCCCCCUUAUGACGGUGUGGUCCAUCCGCCUGCCUCUGAAGAUCCGGAUCUUCAUGUGGCAAUGGAUUCGCGGUCGGAUCCCGUCUGGGGUCGAGGUUCGCAAGCGAAAUGGCCCGAGCACUGGCAUCUGCCCGCUAUGCGGUAUCCCCGAAGACUCGAAUCACAUCUUCUCCUGCGUGUCCGCUCAAUUCGUUUGGAGCUGCUUUCGCGAAGCGGUCGGUGGAAAUUGGUGCCACACCAACUUCCCCGACCUAUUUGCCGAACUCCAGAACUCCCCCUUAACGUCUCGCCACAUUAGGUGGCUUGAGAUUGGGGUCAUUGCUUGGACUCUCUGGACGAUCUUCAAUAAGCGCACUCCUCUGCGACGAGCUACUAACGCUAUCUUCAAACUCUCUGGUUUCUUGCAGCUUUGGCGGCCGCUUAGCCGCCCUCAGGACCGCGACGCCAUCUCCGCCUUCAUCGCCGACCUACGCUCGAUGGCCGUCCGUCUGUCGCCGCCGCCCCCGCCCCCGUCGCCCCCGCCGGAACCUGACUAG